AUUGAACGCUGGCGGCAUGCCUUACACAUGCAAGUCGAACGGUAACAGGUUAAGCUGACGAGUGGCGAACGGGUGAGUAAUAUAUCGGAACGUGCCCAGUCGUGGGGGAUAACGUAGCGAAAGCUACGCUAAUACCGCAUACGAUCUACGGAUGAAAGCGGGGGAUCGCAAGACCUCGCGCGAUUGGAGCGGCCGAUAUCAGAUUAGGUUGUUGGUGAGGUAAAGGCUCACCAAGCCUGCGAUCUGUAGCUGGUCUGAGAGGACGACCAGCCAAAAUGGAACUGAGACACGGUCCAGACUCCUACGGGAGGCAGCAGUGGGGAAUUUUGGACAAUGGACGCAAGUCUGAUCCAGCAAUGCCGUGUGCAGGACGAAGGCCUUCGGGUUGUAAACUGCUUUUGUACGGAACGAAACGGCGAGCUCUAAUACAGUUUGCUAAUGACGGUACCGUAAGAAUAAGCACCGGCUAACUACGUGCCAGCCGCCGCGGUAA
Molecule: ribosomal RNA, 493 nt
Filed under: uncultured bacterium
Lineage: Bacteria
Description: partial 16S ribosomal RNA
Rfam family: Bacterial small subunit ribosomal RNA
Source: RNAcentral